This 201-nucleotide ribosomal RNA is filed under the name Bacillus altitudinis. Its description in RNAcentral is "partial 16S ribosomal RNA". It matches the Rfam family "Bacterial small subunit ribosomal RNA", at positions 1 to 201 of the family's 1533-position model. The record is from RNAcentral. Lineage: Bacteria; Bacillati; Bacillota; Bacilli; Caryophanales; Bacillaceae.
UCGGAGAGUUUGAUCCUGGCUCAGGACGAACGCUGGCGGCGUGCCUAAUACAUGCAAGUCGAGCGGACAGAAGGGAGCUUGCUCCCGGAUGUUAGCGGCGGACGGGUGAGUAACACGUGGGUAACCUGCCUGUAAGACUGGGAUAACUCCGGGAAACCGGAGCUAAUACCGGAUAGUUCCUUGAACCGCAUGGUUCAAGGA